RNAcentral lists this ribosomal RNA (420 nucleotides) under Platysuccinea portoricensis. RNAcentral's name for it is "partial 28S ribosomal RNA". Lineage: Eukaryota; Metazoa; Mollusca; Gastropoda; Stylommatophora; Sagdidae. The record is from RNAcentral.
AAACCGCUCAGAGGUAAACGGGUGGAUCCGCAAAAUCGACCCGCGGAAUUCAGCGCGGCGAGCGGCUCUGGGCUGCCGUGGUUUGGGAUCCCUGGGACCCGACGACGGUGCCGACCGGGGCUCCGCCGCGUGCACUUUCCGCGGGUAGAGUGCCACAACCGGUUCGGCGGCGGUCACAAGCUUUGGGGGUUGCAGGUGGGGGCGCUUGCGCUCCUACCAGCUCUCAUUGCCAGGCCGUCGAGCGGACCGAGGAACCGCCGCGCGCUUCGAGGCCACCCUCCCCUCCUAAUGAGUACGACUGGGAGAGACUGGGCAACCGUGUCUCCCGACCGCUGAUCUGCGAUCGGCGUGGGGCUGGCCGGGCGCGCGUUGUCAGGGUUUGUGGCGAAUCUGUCGGCAUUCCACCCGACCCGUCUUGAA